This 340-nucleotide ribosomal RNA is filed under the name Staphylococcus sp. RNAcentral's name for it is "bacterial SSU rRNA". Lineage: Bacteria; Bacillati; Bacillota; Bacilli; Caryophanales; Staphylococcaceae. The record is from RNAcentral.
CCCCCGCGGGGUGUGAUGAAGGUCUUCGGAUCGUAAAACUCUGUUAUUAGGGAAGAACAUAUGUGUAAGUAACUGUGCACAUCUUGACGGUACCUAAUCAGAAAGCCACGGCUAACUACGUGCCAGCAGCCGCGGUAAUACGUAGGUGGCAAGCGUUAUCCGGAAUUAUUGGGCGUAAAGCGCGCGUAGGCGGUUUUUUAAGUCUGAUGUGAAAGCCCACGGCUCAACCGUGGAGRGUCAUUGGAAACUGGAAAACUUGAGUGCAGAAGAGGAAAGUGGAAUUCCAUGUGUAGCGGUGAAAUGCGCAGAGAUAUGGAGGAACCCCAGUGGCUGCAGACGA